This 522-nucleotide long non-coding RNA is filed under the name Sus scrofa (pig). RNAcentral describes it as "lncRNA (ENSSSCG00005036073.1)". Lineage: Eukaryota; Metazoa; Chordata; Mammalia; Artiodactyla; Suidae. The record is from RNAcentral.
UUAAAUUUCUGUUUAUUAAAUAAUCAGAGUGUUUUUUGGCUUCCUGGUUAGGUCUACUGAUACAUCAGCAAAGCCUGGGAAACCUCAUGUUUUGGUCAGCUAUUGCCGCAACGGUGCUGCAUAACAAGCUCCACGACUACAGAGCUGAACGGCACAGAGUCUCUUCUUACAUUGAUGGAUUAACUUCCAUCAGAUGCUAAAGACUUUUUGGAUGCUCAAGGAGACAGGAGACUAGUGUGGGCUAGAGAACAAAGAGGUAACAGCCUUCCCUCCAAUAUAAUGAAAUGGCUUUUCAUUUCUUCUUUGAGGCCUCAAAAUUAUAAGGUAAGUAGAUUUUUUUUUUUGCAGAAUGGCUGCAUUAGGAUCAUCAAGUCCUAAGCAUCUCUCUGUGAAUACAGCAGCUGUAUUCUAAGUGGGGCAAGGCAUGGCCCAUCCUCUACUUUAGAAUCUUGGGGGCCUUUAUGGAAGCUUCAUCAUGUAGGCAAGGUCCACUAUUAACUCAGUCUCUAGCCCCGCUUCCCU